This is a long non-coding RNA of Gadus macrocephalus (Pacific cod), 2338 nucleotides long. RefSeq lists it as uncharacterized. Lineage: Eukaryota; Metazoa; Chordata; Actinopteri; Gadiformes; Gadidae. The record is from RefSeq and is a predicted model, not a curated record. The transcript has 2 exons.
UAGACGACUUCGUACAUACGUGUUUUACAUUAUACUUCCUUCUCUCUCUCUCUCUCUCUCUCUCUCUCUCUCUCUCUCUCUCUCUGUCUGUCUCUCUCUCUCUCUCUGUCUCUCUCUCUCUCUCUCUCUCUCUCUCUCUCUCUCUCUCUCUCUCUCUCUCUCUCUCUCUCUCUCUAUCAUUGUCACAUGUCGUAGAUAAUGGUCGGUAUUCUCCUGUACCUAUCUUUCCCUCUAGCCUUCCCCCUCAUGUUUUGACUCAGAGUGGUUCAUGCUCUCCUGUAUUUUCAUGUGAGUGGGUUUUCUCAAAGUGAGUAUUAUCUCUCUCGGCACUACUUUAAGAGUACAAUUUUAGCUCAUAAGUACGAUGGGAAAGGUUAUAUAAUGGUUUUGAGCAGAAAUUAUUUGCCAUAUGCAUUAGCCAUAUAUAUAACAGGCUUGACCUUCUAAAAUAGUGUGUUUAAAGGAUGAUCAACCUUUACUUUACCUCGGUAUGCUAUGACCAACCAGACAGACACCAUUGUACAUCAUACAUUAGAGUGCAUGCUGUUAACAAAACCAGAGGAGAAAUAAAUGUAAAUUGUCAAACUUAAAAAAUGAUCCAACGCCUCCCAUUGUUCUGACAUUGUGAUGGUAUACUUGUUUUUGUGCGUCCAUGUUGUCAUACAAACUUGUUCACAUACUUUGCAUAACUCAUUUGCAUGUGUCCAUGUGUUUUGCCCACAUUUUCUAUCCCAUCUAUUGUUGUGGCUCUUUAUGCCUGUUUUUUGUUAUUUUUUCUUUCCCAGGUUCGUGACUACUUAACAAACAUGGCAGUUCGUUACUGGCCUUGGGGGGAGGGGGGGGGGGGGAGGGAGGCUGUGUGUGUGACGAGUGCGACGGACAAUAAGCACUCCGCUCCCUAAUCGUUUUGUGCAGAAUAAAUGCUAAUGACUGUCAGCGGUUGAUAAUAAUACGCACCUCUGCAUUAUUCCUACCCGGCAACAAAUAUUAAGGGGACCAGACGUCCCCUUCGUCUCCGUAUAGGCUGUCAAUACAAUAUCAAACAUUCCUUAUUCGAGAAGUCUACUAUGACUUGUUUUUGGGUGGUUUACCAAAGCUUGAAACACAAAAUCUUUUAUUACAUUUGCCAUGGUAAGAAUGUGCAAAAUAUUUCAGAAACCUUAGCAUCAAAUAGGUUGUUUAUAUGAAGAAGUCCAAAUGACAAGUGUCCGCGUUCUCAUUUCAGAAAUCUUCUCAGCUUACAUGUAGGCCUACUCCUUCCCUCGAGUGUGUCAUGGGAGAAUUGACGGCCGUGCACACAGUGCGCUGUAUAAAUAAUAAAUAAAUAAAUAAAAUACCUUAAGUCUUUUGAGUCGAACCAGGCUCGAGGGCUCCGUGGAGAAUCUAAUCGAAGCAAUCUAAACAGAAUUGAAUGUGUAAAGUAGAGCGGAGGUGAGCGGUGCUCCCCCGCGGUCUGGAACAACACUGUUAUGAUUCUACACAGGUAUAGUGCCCCCGAUAUAGACAUUUAUCUUUCAGAUCAGCCUCGCGUCUCAAACCAAACUCGCAUUGUAAGAAAAUCGGAAAAACUAAACUCAGACCAGGGUUGCCGCGGAUCUUGAAAAGUCUUAAAAGUCAUUCAAUUUAAUUUUUGAUAAUCAAGGUCUUAAAUGUCUUAAAAAGUCUGGAAUUAUUGGGUGUGCGGCAUUACAUUUAAUCGGGGGCAGAAUUAAUGAGCGGGUGUAUAUUUGUUCGGUUUUAUGUUCUAUUUUACAAACUACAAUGUCCGAUUGGUCACAUCGAUAGCAUUCUUCUUCAGUGGCCGAAUUGAACAGUUGGGCGAGUACGGCAUCCAACAUGCCCGGCUCCCUCUCGUCAUUAUCCGAGUCAGUGUCGCUGCUGUUGCCUGGCAGUUCAGUGAUUAUUCCUGCCUUCGUGAAAGCUUGGACCACAGUUGAGACUGAUAUAUCAGCCCAGGCAUCCACGGUCCAUGGGCAGAUAGUGGCGUAAGUAGCCCGGCGCUGACCCAGUUUCAAUACAUAUUCAUGCCUCCACCGGUGAAAUACUCCUUUAAAGGUAUAGACGUCUCGGUUAUAUAGAAGUUAAAGGUAUAGACGUCUAUUAUAUAGAAGCUGAAUGUUUCCUGUAAAGGCCUAGCGAUUAAUCAGACCUUGGUAAAAAAACAACAACAUUCAAUCCAUAUGCAUAGUGUUUGCACUAUAUUUUGCACUAUAUUUAAGUUAUUUUGUUGUUUUCUGUCAUAAUUGUUAUACCAUAAGAUUUGUUAUUGGUAAGAUGGAAUUUGUUAAGAACGUUACUAUUCAUAAUUCAAACUGAAUAAAACUCAUAAUGAACAGAG